Molecule: transfer RNA, 66 nt
Filed under: Bathymodiolus brooksi
Lineage: Eukaryota; Metazoa; Mollusca; Bivalvia; Mytilida; Modiolidae
Description: tRNA-Gly
Source: RNAcentral
GCUUCUAUAGUAAAAUUAUUAUAUUUGCUUUCCAAGCAAAAGUUUUGGUGAGUACCAAUAGCAGUA